Molecule: long non-coding RNA, 699 nt
Organism: Pygoscelis adeliae (Adelie penguin)
Lineage: Eukaryota; Metazoa; Chordata; Aves; Sphenisciformes; Spheniscidae
Exons: 3
Source: RefSeq, a predicted model, not a curated record
UCCUGGCCUCCCUUCCAUGACCUAUGACCGAUGAUGACCUUUAGCUAGAGAAUGUGACAUUUUGUUCUCCUCUGGCUGACAUGUGAUGCCCUCAUUAUUCAAAGGUUUUAUUGAUAUCAUACCAGAAAGCUGGUUUCAGCUCCUGGCAAACUGGCAGCACAAGAGAAGGAUUUCCUGGAUGUCAUCUUCAUUCAAACACUGAUAAAGUGCAGCCAAAGCAGGGAAGACAAACAAAACAUUUACAGCAUUGCUGGAGAAGGAAGGAACUAGACAAGAAACCACAGCCUGGUUGUAAUGAAGAAGUGAAACUGGACAACUUUCAGCACUUAUGCUUUGUUUUUACAGUGAAAGCAUACAUACACACAUAUAACCUGACUUCGCUGAGCAUGUCCUGCUUGAACCUGAGGGUCCCAGCCAUCAUCACAACUAAGAAGAAGAUAUGAAAUACCCACCCUAGCUAAACUUAUUGCGGUGAUGACUAGAAGGACGACAGAAAGGUGAGGGAACAGAGAGCCGGGCACUGUAGCAACACAAAGGACACUGUUCAGUUUCCAUCAAAAGACAAUCCACGUGGCUCCCCGUGUCAGAUGGCUGUUAGUGGAUCUCACGUCUUCUCUUUUACUAGACCUCCUGUCUUCUAUUUUACAUUUGUCGUGUUCAGCUGAUUUUCUAUCACUAUACCAAUCAAAUGCAUUAGUU